RNA transcript from Trifolium pratense (red clover), 3264 nucleotides. It is a transcript of the gene named universal stress protein PHOS32-like, with no coding region annotated. Lineage: Eukaryota; Viridiplantae; Streptophyta; Magnoliopsida; Fabales; Fabaceae. The record is from RefSeq and is a predicted model, not a curated record. The transcript has 3 exons.
ACUUUCCAUUUCCAUAAACAAACAAACAAACCCAAUCCCUUGAUUAACUAACGCAGUUCCCUACUUGUUAGCAAAGUGUAAGAAACAAAUUCAACCUCUCUAGAAAACUCCUCUCCAAAAAUGCAUAACCCCCAUAACCCCACCGCACAUGAUUCCGACCCACAGCUACCACAAAUCAGAAUCCACCACCCUUCCUCACCUCGCCACCAGUCCGCCGCAACACCCACUCCUACCGCCGGUGCCCGCCGUAAAAUCGGUGUAGCCGUUGACCUCUCCGACGAGAGCGCGUACGCUGUACGCUGGGCCGUACAACACUACAUCCGUCCUGGUGAUGCUGUCAUCCUCCUCCACGUCAGCCCUACCAAUGUUCUCUUCGGGGCUGAUUGGGGUUCUAUUGAUCUCUCCAUUAACACCGAUCCAAACUCGGAUGAAGAAGCAAUUAACGUCGUUAACACUACCCCUACCUCCACCACCAACAACAAUAACGAGAUCUCUACGCCUAAGCGGAAGCUUCUUGAAGAAGAUUAUGAUGCUUUCACUGCAACGAAGUCUGCCGAUCUUGCAAAACCGCUUAAGGAUGCUCAGAUUCCUUAUAAGAUCCAUAUUGUGAAAGAUCAUGAUAUGAAAGAGCGUCUUUGUCUUGAGGUUGAGCGUCUUGGUCUCAGUGCUGUUAUUAUGGGGAGUCGUGGAUUUGGUGCGGCUCGUCGUGGUAGUGAUGGAAAGCUUGGAAGUGUUAGUGAUUACUGUGUCCAUCAUUGUGUCUGUCCUGUUGUCGUUGUUCGUUAUCCCGAUGAUGAGGCUAUUGUUGCUGUCAAGGAAGAUGAGGAGGGUGAGGCUGUUAUCAAGCCUGUUGAUGUUUCUCAUCAACAUAAGAAAGGUUAGGGAGGUUUUUCAGUUCUUUCUUUUGAUUGUCAUUAUUUCAAAGGUUUUUAUGUUGAUACAACUAUUUAAUUUGAUUUACUGAUGUUUAUGGUGGUAGCUGUAUCUAUCAAGCACAUACACUCCUUGAAUUAGGUGUGUCCACGUGUGCAAUUUUCUUAAAUUAUCAUCUGUAUCGACGUAUCUGUGCUGUGUCUAUACUUCAUAGAUCACUAUUUUGCUAAUAUUAUUGUUGGAGAUUUUGAUUACAAGUGCAACCCUAUUAGGAAUGAAUUUCGGUUUUGAUCAAGAGUUUGUUAAUGGUUGGGUUGGGAUUGGUGUAAUGGUUCUAGAUAUCUUAGAUUCCAUUCUUUUGUGAACCUUAGAAGAAAAGAGAAAGAAGAACUAGGUUUUACUUAUGCUGGCUUGGUGAUUGAUUGCUUCUGGAGUUGUUGGAUCAAGAGGGCUUUCCAUCUUUGGUUUUUUUGGGUGGAUUGAUUAAGUUCAUAUUUGUUAUUAGUUAUUACUAUUAGUUGUGACAAAUCAAUGUCCACUGUUAUUCAUGAACCUUCCUUGAUAGCUUGUGGACUUUUGAAGUUGGAUUUCACCUUAUCAUUUAUGAUUAUGAAUUGGUUUUAAACUUUAAUUACAAUGCUAAUGAUAUAAUGGUUUGUCAUUUAUGACUGCUCUUUGAUGACUUCUCUUUGAUAUAUUAUGUAUUACGCAAUACACAGCCAAUACUUAUAAACACAUAAUUGUUACAAAAUUAAUCAAAUUACUCAAUUCAUUCAUGAAGUAUUCAUAAUUUAGAAACAAAAGUCAAAAGUCAUAAGCCAAACAUACAUAUAAAUUCUGACAAAAUUCAAGGAGUAUUUUGGUGCCCCGAACAUCAAAGGCUACCUUCAAAAUCAACCUACAGCUCCUUUUAUUCCCGUUUGAUAUUUUUUAACUUUAGUAAUUCUUCCUAAAGUUCUUUUACCGCAGAAAUCACAAGCAACCAUCUUCUUAUCCCUGUCUUUCAAACUAUAUCACUGUCAUGCUGUGUCAAGGUUAUCCCUGCUUGUUUAAAUAUUUGGGCACAAGCACCUGCUGAGCCACUGGUUAAGUUAAUGAUGGUUGAGAAUGAGUAUGAGUUGUCAUGGCUGUUAGAAUGAGAAUAAAGAGGCUUGGAUGACGAUGAUGGUUUACAGUAGAGGGGAAAGUGAAGAGAAAAGAGGGAUCAUAUGUUUUUGGUCACACUGAAGAGAAGAGGUAUAAUAGGGUUUCCUUUUUGUGCCAAAACCCUAAAAUACUCAUGCAACAGUUCAAUUUCAAGGGCUUUUAGGGUUUCAAACACCUCAAACAAUUGCGCUCCUGUAGUUGUGGGAUUAGGAAUUUUAGGAUGUUCCACCAAUGCAAAUAACAACACAAAUCUCAGGCGCAAACAUGGCCAGAACUUCAUUCUGUUUCACAUUGCUAUAUGUGGCGGGCGGAUACCCAUUGUUCCACACCUCCCUAGUGCAAAGCACUGCAAUGUGCCACUAUUGACAACAUAGGUUAAACAUGUGGCUGGAUGUGCUUGUGUGGUGUAGUUUUAUUUAUAUUUCUUGUUUGUUUUGUCAUAUAUAUGGUGUAUCAACUAUGGAAGAUGGACCAAACUGCAUAGAUAGUAUUCUGUUGGCAUUUUGAAGCCCUGCUCAUGUUGAGUUUUUUUAUUCAUUGAGUUAUUUUUUUAUUCUCGAAAGUCAAUUUUAUCUGUAAUUCUGCUUUAUUGGUUUUGUUUUGUUUUUUUGCAUUUUAUCUACAUUGCUUGGAUUGGAUUUUGAUUUGACUUAAUUUGAUAUUAUUCUUGCUGUCUUCUAAUAGAUUAUCAUGCAUUUGACUUAUCAUUUUUCAAUGCAAUUUAGAGUUGUAUCUACAUGUAAUUUCAAUACAUUGGUGAAUAUUUGUUCUUUUACCUGAUUGAUAUACAAUAAUGUUGGUUGUGUGAUUGAAAAUUAACUCCCUAAUUGUUGUUUGGCUUGGUGCAGAAGAUUAAUGGGGAGUCAAUUCAUCAGAUCAACCCUGCCUCUACAGAAUGUACCUGAUCCAUAAGAGAUUGUUGGAAAUUUUUGUAAAGUGAUCUCUUUCUAUUCCUGUCAGGUUGCACUUUAGAGCAUUUUCCUGGAUGUUAACUCUGGAAAGAUUAUGGAUGGUUUUGUAUGGCUUGAUGAUUUUGGUCCUUUAGGCUGUUGUAAUAUUGUGUUUGGUUCCAAACUGGUUAUAUACUCUUUAAUGUAGAUGUACAAAUUUGGCGUUGACUGUUUUUGGGGUUAUUUUCCCAUUCUGUAUGUGGGAGAUUGGAUUAUCUUAAUACUUUUUCAUGUUAUAUUAUUACUACUACUGCUGGAUAAUUAUCAAGAGCUUGCUAUGUUGCUGGUGAUGGAA